This is a long non-coding RNA of Brienomyrus brachyistius, 2560 nucleotides long. RefSeq lists it as uncharacterized. The record is from RefSeq and is a predicted model, not a curated record. The transcript has 5 exons. NCBI's taxonomy places the organism in Eukaryota, Metazoa, Chordata, Actinopteri, Osteoglossiformes, Mormyridae.
UGUGUGACUGGCUAAAUCGGUGAAAGGUAGUGAUGCCAUUUGCAAUCCCGAUGGUGUGAGCCAGGAACAAGCAAUGUCCAAUGUCUGCCUCUGGUUGGUCUGCAUAAAAUAUUUUUGCCACUUCUCCAUAUCAAGCUAGGCUCGAUGAAGAACUCUGCAGAGACCACGGGUAAAGUAAGCCCAUGGGGUUUUCAGCACCUUGUUGAGAAAUUUCCAAACAUCAGCAUUGCAAAACUGAAGGAAGGGAUAUUUAUAGAUCCGUUUGGAAUAAUGAAUGUUUUAAGCAAUCUCUCUCGGCAGCCGAACUGGACGCUUGGGAGACAUUCACGUGGCUCUGCAAAAACUUUCUGGGUAGCCAUCUCCUGCAUAGAAGGAAGGCGUUCAGAACCUGCUUAAUUCAUACCAGAAACCGGCCUGUCGCAUGUCAUUGAAAAUACAACUCUGCACUCCAAUCAAGAGUUCUUCCCAGAAAAUCUUGGUACGGUGAGUGAUGAGCAAUGCUUUCGCUAAGAUAUUCAGUCAAUGGAGCGUCAUUACCAAGUUUUCUGUAAUGAGAGUAUGAUGUUGCUGUACCGCAACACUCCAGGCAGUACAUAAAAACUCCAAGCAUUUUUAAAGAAAGAGUGGUAGUAGAUUUUCAUCAAUAUAUUGGAUGAAAAUAUACUGGGAAAGUGGCAAUAAGAUCCAUCAAACAUUAACUAUAAGUAAAUAUAGUAACAACAGAGGAAUCCUGUUCACAGGGUUAAGUUUCCUGUUAAUUAACCCUUGUAAUUCUGUUACUGUAAUCCUAGUGCUUUUGCUUCAAUUUUGCAGUUUAUCUCAAUUUGAGCUGGUUCAGGUCUUCACUCGUACCACGUGUGUGUAAAGUUUCGAAAAGAUCAGACAAAUAAUUUUUGAGUUACUACAUUGACAAGGUCAUGUGUCUGAGCUGCCCUAGACAUCAAUACGCUGUGAUGCUUCAGCUUUGAGCAGAUCUGUCUCAAAAAUUGGAUCCCUUCCAGUUUUUCACACCUACAAUGCUCUGGUAAUGUUUUAAAAAAGAAAUCCAUUAAUCGGUUUUUGAGUUGUUGUGUUAACAACAAAGCGUCUGUGGAGGGAGUAUUGGCAGCAGACCGGGCCCAAAACCAUAUAUACUUAUAUACAUAUAUAUUUUUAUGCAUAGGACAACAUAAACACAAUAAAAUCAAUUUUAAAAGUCUAGAUUAGGUUAUGUAAACAGUGACUGUAAGAAAAACAAGCAGUACAACUGCAAAUCUUUUGAAGGUUUUAAUAUCAGGGCUAUUACAUAAGAGAAGAAUUUAGCUGUCCCCUGUGUAACCUGAAAUUACAAGGGACACAUUUUGGAACAGCCACAGUUCUAAUUUACAUAUCCCACUUCCUUUUACUUUUCUUUCAUGUGAGAAAAUGUGGGACAAGAGUAUACGCAGGAGGGAAGCCAAAACAAUUAUUAGAAGAGGAAGGCAGAAGAAUUAUUGCAAGAGGAAGGAGAAUUUGCAGGAAACCCCAAUACAGAGAAUUUAAACUCCCAUACCUGGAAGAAGAUGGCAACCCUGCUGGUCAUAGAGCCACCUCACCACCCAUGUUGAGGCCAUGGAUACAGACGAGCUGGCGGGGCUGCUCUCUGAUAUGGGCCCGACGUGACUGAUACUGGGCAAGACAGGAGAGGAAGAUGCCGAAAAAAACCAACCUCGCUCGAUCUCUCUCUUUGGCUGUCAGCAACCUGACCAAUGAAUUCUGGAGAAAAUAAGAGAGAGCAAAGAGAUAUGGAACAUGGAAGGCUUUGCCACCUGAGUUCGGAACUUCUUCAGGACCCCCAAGGAUUCAUGGUACAGGAAGUCAGACCACUCGAUGUGGCCCUUCUUCUCAGUGUCCAAACUGGCAUAUUGGGCCAGGACUUCCUCCUCCUGCUCAUCUGACAGUUCCCUCUCAAAAAGCUGCUUGAACACAAAGUGCUUGUAGUAUAGAAGACCAUCCGACCCAAGACAUGACUCUAUGGGAAAAGAAAAUUAAUUCACAGUUAAUUAACACCUGACCAGGUGGUACAGUGAUCCAGUCAGUAUAGUAAUGCUCUGUUUAUAGGUAAGCAAAAAAAAAAAAAAGAUAUUUUCAUAGUGAAGUUAAUGUUUUUAUGGUUUAAAAUCCUUGUAUCAGAAAAGAUAUUUUUUAUUAAAAUUAUUAUGAAUUCUGUUUUAACAACCACUUAGCCAGUACAGUGACCCUGGAAUCUACCCAGGGAAGCAGAUGGCAUGAGACUGAGCACAGGCCGUUACAGGACACAAAUAAUGGGUGAUAUAGAGACACCAAUUCACCUAAACCAUGCCUUUUUUGAUUGUAGGAGAACACAAAAUUACCUAACUAAAAAACUGCAUUAUUAUAUAAAUUAAAAAGUUCAACUUCAUCAUCCACCUAGUAGACAGUACAGAAUAGCUCACCUGGAAUGAUCUUACACUGUUUGAAGGUUUCCAUGAGACUAUACAUCUCUUCUUCUGUGAGAAGGAGGUUGACAUUGUCCUGUAGGAAUAAAAUGUUUGUGAUAUUAAUAAUAAAGGAUUAUGAGGCA